This 504-nucleotide long non-coding RNA is filed under the name Homo sapiens (human). RNAcentral describes it as "HSALNT0208293". The record is from RNAcentral. Lineage: Eukaryota; Metazoa; Chordata; Mammalia; Primates; Hominidae.
CUUUUGGAUCACCUCCCGCUCCUGGGCCUGAGUCUUGGCCCCGCGAAUCUCUUCGAUGAGGUCCUGAAGCUUCAGCGAAGGCACCACCAUCCUGACUGGCAGAGUCCGGGAGUGGAGAAACACUCUCUGGUCGGGCGUGCCUGGGCUUUCGGCCCAGGCCCGUCCUGUGUCAAGACCCUAAGAGCCCGGGUCCCACAGGCAGCGGCAGCGGCAGCGACAGCCUGCCUACCCCAGGACUCCAGCCUCACCUGGCUUCUGCCUCAACUCCGCUCCUCUGCCCCCCAGCGCUUCCUGGCUUUAGCGGAGAGACAGCAUGAUAGGCCUGGAGUUCUUCAAGAGGCCUCCUCGCACAUCCUUACCACCCGGAGAGCCUCAGUUUGGAUUUGAAGCCAUCGCACCCCAAAGGAGAUGACAAUCCCCCCCCUUUUUUGAACUUUUUUAUUAAUAUAUUUUUUUUGUUAAAUUUCUUUGUAUUUUUUUCCUGCAAGACUUGGUGUUGGCGGC